GGGGGCGACAUGGUUUCGACAGGGGCAAUGAGGUAAUUGGACGCGUGCCGAGGUGUAGUUUCCUCGCUAAACCACUUACAAAAAUAUAAACGCCAACGAUGAGCGUUUCGCUCUCGCCGCCUAAGUCCGGUGAGACGCUGCAACCGGUUUGCUCUUAGACCGGGUCGGGAAACCGACAGCAGCGACAUAGCAUAAGAGCUAGUCUUCGAUGGUGUUGUGACGUCGGAGGCGAAACAAAGCAACUGGCCGGCAACUGGCAUCGCUAGUUUGCAGGGUUGUCGGUAAGAUCUAAAUGAAUUAGAUACGCACGUAGAGGCUGUUGCUGAUAGCUUUUGGACGCGAGUUCGAUUCUCGCCGCCUCCACCA
This 366-nucleotide transfer-messenger RNA is filed under the name Burkholderiales. RNAcentral describes it as "Parasutterella sp009767915 Standard tmRNA". It matches the Rfam family "transfer-messenger RNA". From Rfam's summary of the family: Bacterial tmRNA, also known as 10Sa RNA or SsrA, is named for its dual tRNA and mRNA-like properties. Its role is to liberate the mRNA from a stalled ribosome. Lineage: Bacteria; Pseudomonadati; Pseudomonadota; Betaproteobacteria. RNAcentral also lists the same sequence under 1 other name. The record is from RNAcentral.